CGCCNGCCCAGAGAUUAANUUUANCGGNCGNGGGAUCCUAACCGUGCGAAGGUAGCGNAAUCACUUGUUCUUUAAAUGAGGACUAGUAUGAACGGCAUCACGAAGGUUACACUGUCUCCUUUUUCUAAUCAGUGAAACUAAUUUCCCCGUGAAGAAGCGGGGAUAGUCUAAUAAGACGAGAAGACCCUAUGGAACUUUAAACAAAGUAACAAGUACUAUUAUUUAUUCAUAUUUCCGAAUCAAACAUAAUCUAGUACGAUGAUUACUAGUUUUAGGUUGGGGUGACCGCGGAGAAAAACAUAACCUCCACAUUGAAAGAAAAACUCUAAGCCCAAAGCUACAACUUAAAGCAUCAAUAUACUGACAUUAAUUGACCCAAUUGUAUUGAGCAACGAACCAAGCUACCCUAGGGAUAACAGCGCAAUCCACUUUAAGAGCCCCUAUCGACNAGUGGGUUUCCGACCUCGAUGUUGGAUCAGGNUUUUCCAGUGGUCCNCCCGCUACU
RNAcentral lists this ribosomal RNA (505 nucleotides) under Atelopus chiriquiensis. Its description in RNAcentral is "partial 16S ribosomal RNA". It matches the Rfam family "Bacterial large subunit ribosomal RNA", at positions 1856 to 2566 of the family's 2925-position model. Lineage: Eukaryota; Metazoa; Chordata; Amphibia; Anura; Bufonidae. The record is from RNAcentral.